UCGGGGCGACAGGAUUCGAACCUGCGACCCCUUGGUCCCAAACCAAGUGCGCUACCAAGCUGCGCUACACCCCG
Molecule: transfer RNA, 74 nt
Filed under: Candidatus Hakubella thermalkaliphila
Lineage: Bacteria; Bacillati; Actinomycetota; Candidatus Hakubellales; Candidatus Hakubellaceae
Description: Candidatus Hakubanella thermoalkaliphilus tRNA-Pro
Source: RNAcentral